RNAcentral lists this transfer RNA (73 nucleotides) under Listeria phage LPJP1. RNAcentral describes it as "tRNA-Asn". It matches the Rfam family "tRNA". Rfam says of the family: Transfer RNA (tRNA) molecules are approximately 80 nucleotides in length. Lineage: Duplodnaviria; Heunggongvirae; Uroviricota; Caudoviricetes. The record is from RNAcentral.
UGACGUGUAGCUCAAUGGUAGAGCAUCUGACUGUUAAUCAGACGGUUGCAAGUUCGAGUCUUGCCACGUCAGC